This 1728-nucleotide long non-coding RNA is filed under the name Capra hircus (goat). Its description in RNAcentral is "lncRNA (ENSCHIG00000001143.1)". Lineage: Eukaryota; Metazoa; Chordata; Mammalia; Artiodactyla; Bovidae. The record is from RNAcentral.
UUUCUUUCUUUCUUUGUAAUUACCCACCUACCUAUCUCCAUCUAUUGAAUUUUCGUUAAAAUAAUACAUGCAAAUGAUUAAAGACUCUUGAGAGUCCCUUGGACUGCAAGAUCAAACCGGUGAAUCCUAAAGGAAACAAACCCUGAAUAUUUAUUGGAAGGGCUGAUGCUGAAGCUCCAAUACUUAGGCCACCUGAUGUAAAGAGCUGAUUCACCGGAAAACAUCCUGAUGCUGGGAAACAUAGAAGGCAGGAGGAGAAGGGGAUGACAGAGGACGAGAUGAUUGGAUGGCAUCACUGACACAGUGGAGAUGAGUUUGAGCAAGCUCUGGGUGAUGGUGAAGGACAGGGAAGCCUGGGGUGCUGCAGUCCAUGGGGUCACACAGAGUCGGACAUGACUGAGUGACUGAACAAAAACGAAGUGCUUAUGAUAUAAAGCAACUUCCCCAAAGUCCUCAUUUCUAGUUCUGCACUGUGAAAGUGAAAGAAAGUGAAAGUGGAGUCGCUCAGUCGUGUCCAACUCUUUGCGACCCCGUGGACUGUAGCCUAUCAGGCUCCUCUGUCUGUGAGAUUCUCCAGGCAAGAAUACUGGAGUGGGUUGUCAUUUCCUUCUCCAGGGGAUCUUCCCAACCCAGGGGUCGAACCCGGGUCUGCUGUAUUGCAGGCAGAUGCUUUAUCCUCUGAGCCGCCAGGAAAGCCGAGCCGCGCUGUGAGUUCUCUGGAUUCCGGAGAGGGGAGACUGCCUGCUUCAGGAAGCAAAAAAAAGAAAGAAAGAAAGAAAGAAAGAAACCUGCUUUGCUCAGUUAAACUGUACUCUUUGAAUAUUUUAACAGACUUAAACAUAUCAUUUUAGGGAACACAUUUCAGCCCAUAACAGGAAAAGUCUCAUCAAUCUUACUCCACGUGCUUUAAAUUUUCACAGAGUUUAUUCAGGUUGUGUCAUCAUGCUGUCUGUCCCUUUUAAUUUUUCACUUUAUAGAUUUUGUCUUUUCUGGAAUCUUUAUGACGAUUUAAGUGAAAACUGGGAAGAGGUUUCCUGGAGUUGGUAUCCAGAUGCCGUUUUUAACCAUGUUGCUGUUCUGUUCUUUUGAAUGUACUAAUGUAUUUCAUGGCUAUUUGGCAGUUUCUCCUAAUAUUUUUAGGAAAAUGUUUAGAGGAUAAAUGGAAGUCAGAUAAGUAAAAGUUGAGAAGUGAGUUGGAUUUUCAUUGUGUCACUGUAGAAUCUCAAAUCUCUUGAUAAAUCCCUUACUCCAUAUAUUUCCUAGUUGUUCUCCUUCUCAUAUCAAACCCUGACCGAAGCAGUUUGACAGAGGAAACAGCAGUUCAGGCUCUGAAAAUCAGCUAGAUUUUUUAUUUUUAUAUCCAACCCAUCAAAAAAGUGAAUCAUGUAUGAUUUUGAAGGACAAUUUGAUGUAUCACAGAAAAUGAUAAACCAUCAAAAUUGUUGUAUUCCAAAGCUGUGUUCUGGCUGGCUUUUUCUGGGUAGUUAUUUCUCUUCUGUAUUUGACCUAAUAAAGUCAGGGAUUUACUUCAACUAAUCCAUUUGUCAUGGCCUAUAAAUCUGUUCUGUUUUUGUUGCAGAUACCAUGUAACUAAGUAAUGAUUAAUAAAGAUAUUCAAAUGGACAUCAGCUCUCUUAGUGACCUACAGUUUAUUAAUACGUGAACACAUAUACCUGCUUUUUAUUCAAAGACAUUGCCUCUAUUAAGGACUAAAGUGUAAUUUUAAAC